Tachyglossus aculeatus (Australian echidna) is the source of this 138-nucleotide small nucleolar RNA. The record is from RefSeq and is a predicted model, not a curated record. Lineage: Eukaryota; Metazoa; Chordata; Mammalia; Monotremata; Tachyglossidae.
CCCCUCUCAGGGUCGCACUUGGAGAGUUUCCAAUACUCUACCAAUCUUGGCUGUGAGAGGGAGAGUCAAGCAGAGGCCUACCCAUUCCAUUCCCGGCUUGGACAGUGGCUAUCAAAUGGAAGGCUAUCUGCUACAAGU